ACGAACGCUGGCGGCAGGCUUAACACCUGCAAGUCGAGCGGGCCCUUCGGGGUCAGCGGCAGACGGGUGAGUAACACGUGGGAACGUACCUUUUGGUUCGGAACAACUCCGGGAAACUGGAGCUAAUACCGGAUAAGCCCUUAGGGGGAAAGAUUUAUCGCCAAAAGAUCGGCCCGCGUCUGAUUAGCUAGUUGGUGGGGUAACGGCCCACCAAGGCGACGAUCAGUAGCUGGUCUGAGAGGAUGAUCAGCCACACUGGGACUGAGACACGGCCCAGACUCCUACGGGAGGCAGCAGUGGGGAAUAUUGGACAAUGGGCGCAAGCCUGAUCCAGCCAUGCCGCGUGAGUGAUGAAGGCCUUAGGGUUGUAAAGCUCUUUUGUCCGGGAAGAUAAUGACUGUACCGGAAGAAUAAGCCCCGGCUAACUUCGUG
This 432-nucleotide ribosomal RNA is filed under the name uncultured bacterium. RNAcentral's name for it is "partial 16S ribosomal RNA". It matches the Rfam family "Bacterial small subunit ribosomal RNA", at positions 29 to 507 of the family's 1533-position model. The record is from RNAcentral.